AUGGUGUUAUCUGUUCAUGUGCAAAGCAGGACGAUUACGCCAUCAACAGGCAUCGAGCGCUCUACGGAAGCAUCCAAUCUCGCUGUUCUAACAACUUCGCCGGAAAUACAGACCGCCAGUGCUCCAGCUGAGGUUGUUUCUCGAGUAUUUCUUAUUGCAGACCAUGCUGUAGAGACACACAAACCGUACGGCUGCUUUUGCUUUGUUACAUUUUCAGAUCUGCAGAUAGAUCCGCUGAUGGAUUUAAGUUUUCAUUCACCAACUUCAAAUACUCAAUUCCUUGGAAAUGAGGAUCGUUCUGCAGCUCAUAAGUCGUACACAACGUGUGAUCGUUUCUACCGUCCAAAUGAAUUUUUAUAUUCAAUAAAUUUGAGGCUGCCUCGAAGCCUCCACCAAGAGUAG
This 402-nucleotide ribosomal RNA is filed under the name Triticum aestivum (bread wheat). RNAcentral describes it as "partial small subunit ribosomal RNA". Lineage: Eukaryota; Viridiplantae; Streptophyta; Magnoliopsida; Poales; Poaceae. The record is from RNAcentral.